CAGCGCCACGAGUGGGAAUCGUGUUUAUUGGGCCUAAAGCGUCCGUAGCCGGUCAAGUAAAUCUUUUGUGAAAUCAUCGGGCUUAACCCGAUGGCGUGCAGAAGACACUGCUUGACUAGGAACCGGGAGGAGUCAGAGGUAUGGGAUGGGGAGCGGUAAAAUGCGAUAAUCCAUCUUAGACCACCUGUGGCGAAGGCGUCUGACUAGAACGGAUUCGACGGUGAGGGACGAAAGCCAGGGGAGCGAUCCGGAUUAGAGACCCGUGUAGUCC
Molecule: ribosomal RNA, 271 nt
Filed under: uncultured archaeon
Lineage: Archaea
Description: partial 16S ribosomal RNA
Rfam family: Archaeal small subunit ribosomal RNA
Source: RNAcentral